UACGUAGGGUGCAAGCGUUAAUCGGAAUUACUGGGCGUAAAGGGUGCGUAGGCGGUCUCGCAAGUCUGGCGUGAAAGCCCAAGGCUCAGCCUUGGAAGUGCGCUCGAAACGGCGAGGCUGGAGUGCCGGAGGGGAGAGUGGAAUUCCCGGUGUAGCGGUGAAAUGCGUAGAUAUUGGGAGGAACACCAGUGGCGAAGGCGGCUCACUGGACCGGUACUGACGCUGAAGUGCGAAAGCGUGGGGAGCAAACGGG
RNAcentral lists this ribosomal RNA (253 nucleotides) under uncultured bacterium. RNAcentral's name for it is "partial 16S ribosomal RNA". It matches the Rfam family "Bacterial small subunit ribosomal RNA", at positions 524 to 776 of the family's 1533-position model. The record is from RNAcentral.